RNAcentral lists this RNase P RNA (381 nucleotides) under Actinomyces respiraculi. RNAcentral describes it as "Bacterial RNase P class A". It matches the Rfam family "Bacterial RNase P class A". From Rfam's summary of the family: Ribonuclease P (RNase P) is a ubiquitous endoribonuclease, found in archaea, bacteria and eukarya as well as chloroplasts and mitochondria. Its best characterised activity is the generation of mature 5'-ends of tRNAs by cleaving the 5'-leader elements of precursor-tRNAs. Lineage: Bacteria; Bacillati; Actinomycetota; Actinomycetes; Actinomycetales; Actinomycetaceae. The record is from Rfam by way of RNAcentral.
CGAGCCGACCGGGCGGCCGCGGUACCGGGGUUCGCUCCGGAUCGAGGAACGUCCGGGCUCCACAGAGCAGGGCGGUGGCUAACGGCCACCCGGGGUGACCCGCGGGAACAGUGCCACAGAGAGUAGACAGCCGACGGGGCUACCCGCCGGUGAUGGUGAAAGGGUGGGGUAAGAGCCCACCAGCGCCCCGGGUGACUGGGGCGGCUAGGCAAACCCCGCCCGGAGCAAGACCGCACAGCUGACGCUUGAGGGCUGCUCGUCCGAGUCAGCGGGUAGGUCGCGUGAGCCCACCGGUAACGGUGGGCCAAGAUGGAUGGUCGCCACCGUCGCACCGGUAACGGGCGGCGGCAACAGAACCCGGCGUACAGGUCGGCUCGUUCC